GAAGAUGUAACGGGGCUAAACCAUGCACCGAAGCUGCGGCAGCGACACUAUGUGUUGUUGGGUAGGGGAGCGUUCUGUAAGCCUGCGAAGGUGACCUGUGAGGGUUGCUGGAGGUAUCAGAAGUGCGAAUGCUGACAUAAGUAACGAUAAAGCGGGUGAAAAGCCCGCUCGCCGGAAGACCAAGGGUUCCUGUCCAACGUUAAUCGGGGCAGGGUGAGUCGACCCCUAAGGCGAGGCCGAAAGGCGUAGUCGAUGGGAAACAGGUUAAUAUUCCUGUACUUGGUGUUACUGCGAAGGGGGGACGGAGAAGGCUAUGUUAGCCGGGCGACGGUUGUCCCGGUUUAAGCAUGUAGGCUGGUUAUCCAGGCAAAUCCGGAUAAUCAAGGCUGAGGUGUGAUGACGAGGCACUACGGUGCUGAAGUAACAAAUGCCCUGCUUCCAGGAAAAGCCUCUAAGCAUCAGGUAACAUCAAAUCGUACCCCAAACCGACACAGGUGGUCAGGUAGAGAAUACCAAGGCGCUUGAGAGAACUCGGGUGAAGGAACUAGGCAAAAUGGUGCCGUAACUUCGGGAGAAGGCACGCUGGUGUGUAGGUGAAG
RNAcentral lists this ribosomal RNA (599 nucleotides) under Klebsiella pneumoniae subsp. pneumoniae. RNAcentral's name for it is "bacterial LSU rRNA". It matches the Rfam family "Bacterial large subunit ribosomal RNA", at positions 1166 to 1767 of the family's 2925-position model. Lineage: Bacteria; Pseudomonadati; Pseudomonadota; Gammaproteobacteria; Enterobacterales; Enterobacteriaceae. The record is from RNAcentral.